Molecule: ribosomal RNA, 548 nt
Filed under: uncultured prokaryote
Description: bacterial SSU rRNA
Rfam family: Bacterial small subunit ribosomal RNA
Source: RNAcentral
UGGGGAAUUUUGGACAAUGGGCGCAAGCCUGAUCCAGCAAUGCCGCGUGCAGGAUGAAGGCCUUCGGGUUGUAAACUGCUUUUGUACGGAACGAAACGGUCCCUUCUAAUACAAGGGGCUAAUGACGGUACCGUAAGAAUAAGCACCGGCUAACUACGUGCCAGCAGCCGCGGUAAUACGUAGGGUGCGAGCGUUAAUCGGAAUUACUGGGCGUAAAGCGUGCGCAGGCGGUUUUGUAAGACAGAUGUGAAAUCCCCGGGCUCAACCUGGGACCUGCAUUUGUGACUGCAAGGCUAGAGUACGGUAGAGGGGGAUGGAAUUCCGCGUGUAGCAGUGAAAUGCGUAGAUAUGCGGAGGAACACCGAUGGCGAAGGCAAUCCCCUGGACCUGUACUGACGCUCAUGCACGAAAGCGUGGGGAGCAAACAGGAUUAGAUACCCUGGUAGUCCACGCCCUAAACGAUGUCAACUGGUUGUUGGGUCUUCACUGACUCAGUAACGAAGCUAACGCGUGAAGUUGACCGCCUGGGGAGUACGGCCGCAAGGUUG